This 346-nucleotide ribosomal RNA is filed under the name uncultured bacterium. Its description in RNAcentral is "partial 16S ribosomal RNA". It matches the Rfam family "Bacterial small subunit ribosomal RNA", at positions 338 to 681 of the family's 1533-position model. The record is from RNAcentral.
CCUACGGGAGGCAGCAGUGAGGAAUAUUGGUCAAUGGGCGCGAGCCUGAACCAGCCAAGUAGCGUGAAGGAUGAAUGCCCUACGGGUGGUAAACUUCUUUUAUAAAGGAAUAAAGUGAGGCACGUGUGCCUUUUUGUAUGGACGUUAUGAAUAAGGAUCGGAUAACUCCGUGCCAGCAGACGCGGUAAGACGGAGGAGCCGAGCGUUCUCCGGAUUGAUUGGGUUUACAGGGAGCGUAGAGGGGUUGUUACGUCAGUUGUGAAAGUUUCCGGCUCAACCGUAAAAGGGCAAUUGAUACUGGCAGCCUUGAGUACAGUUGCGGUAGGCGGCAUUCCUUGUGUAGCGG